RNAcentral lists this ribosomal RNA (369 nucleotides) under Streptomyces sp. WPS091. RNAcentral's name for it is "bacterial SSU rRNA". It matches the Rfam family "Bacterial small subunit ribosomal RNA", at positions 99 to 481 of the family's 1533-position model. Lineage: Bacteria; Bacillati; Actinomycetota; Actinomycetes; Kitasatosporales; Streptomycetaceae. The record is from RNAcentral. RNAcentral also lists the same sequence under 2 other names.
CGAACGGGUGAGUAACACGUGGGCAAUCUGCCCUGCACUCUGGGACAAGCCCUGGAAACGGGGUCUAAUACCGGAUACUGACCCUCGCAGGCAUCUGCGAGGUUCGAAAGCUCCGGCGGUGCAGGAUGAGCCCGCGGCCUAUCAGCUUGUUGGUGAGGUAAUGGCUCACCAAGGCGACGACGGGUAGCCGGCCUGAGAGGGCGACCGGCCACACUGGGACUGAGACACGGCCCAGACUCCUACGGGAGGCAGCAGUGGGGAAUAUUGCACAAUGGGCGAAAGCCUGAUGCAGCGACGCCGCGUGAGGGAUGACGGCCUUCGGGUUGUAAACCUCUUUCAGCAGGGAAGAAGCGAAAGUGACGGUACCUG